UGGGGAAUUUUGGACAAUGGGCGAAAGCCUGAUCCAGCAAUGCCGCGUGUGUGAAGAAGGCCUUCGGGUUGUAAAGCACUUUUGUCCGGAAAGAAAUCCUUGGCUCUAAUACAGUCGGGGGAUGACGGUACCGGAAGAAUAAGCACCGGCUAACUACGUGCCAGCAGCCGCGGUAAUACGUAGGGUGCAAGCGUUAAUCGGAAUUACUGGGCGUAAAGCGUGCACAGGCGGUUUGCUAAGACCGAUGUGAAAUCCCCGGGCUCAACCUGGGAACUGCAUUGGUGACUGGCAGGCUAGAGUAUGGCAGAGGGGGGUAGAAUUCCACGUGUAGCAGUGAAAUGCGUAGAGAUGUGGAGGAAUACCGAUGGCGAAGGCAGCCCCCUGGGCCAAUACUGACGCUCAUGCACGAAAGCGUGGGGAGCAAACAGGAUUAGAUACCCUGGUAGUCCAUGCCCUAAACGAUGUCAACUAGUUGUUGGGGAUUCAUUUCCUUAGUAACGUAGCUAACGCGUGAAGUUGACCGCCUGGGGAGUAC
This 535-nucleotide ribosomal RNA is filed under the name uncultured bacterium. Its description in RNAcentral is "partial 16S ribosomal RNA". It matches the Rfam family "Bacterial small subunit ribosomal RNA", at positions 355 to 883 of the family's 1533-position model. The record is from RNAcentral.